Molecule: ribosomal RNA, 699 nt
Filed under: uncultured Armatimonadota bacterium
Lineage: Bacteria; Bacillati; Armatimonadota
Description: bacterial SSU rRNA
Rfam family: Bacterial small subunit ribosomal RNA
Source: RNAcentral
UAAAGCAGCAAUGCACUUCAGGAUGGGCUUGCGGCCUAUCAGCUAGUUGGUGAGGUAAUGGCCCACCAAGGCGACGACGGGUAGCUGGUCUGAGAGGAUGGUCAGCCGGACUGGGACUGAGACACGGCCCAGACUCCUACGGGGGGCAGCAAUUAGGAAUCUUGCGCAAUGGGGGAAACCCUGACGCAGCGACGCCGCGUGAAGGAUGAAGGCCUUCGGGUCGUAAACUUCUUUUAUCGGGGAAGAAGUAAGUGACGGUACCCGGUGAAUAAGCCCCGGCUAACUACGUGCCAGCAGCCGCGGUAAUACGUAGGGGGCGAGCGUUGUCCGAAGUUACUGGGCGUAAAGCGCGCGUAGGCGGGCUAUUAAGUUGGAUGUGAAAUCUUCGGGCUCAACCCGGAAACCGCAUCCAAAACUGUUAGCCUUGAGGUAUGGAGAGGGAAGUGGAAUUCCUGGUGUAGCGGUGAAAUGCGUAGAUAUCAGGAGGAACACCCGUGGCGAAGGCGGCUUCCUGGUCAUAUCCUGACGCUGAGGCGCGAAAGCUAGGGGAGCGAACGGGAUUAGAUACCCGGUAGUCCUAGCCGUAAACGAUGGAUACUAGGUGUUAGUGGUAUCGACCCCACUAGUGCCGUAGCUAACGCAAUAAGUAUCCCGCCUGGGGAGUACGGCCGCAAGGUUGAAACUUAAAUGAAUUGACGG